UGGUUGAUCCUGCCAGUAGUCAUAUGCUCAUUUCGAAGACUAAGCCAUGCAUGUCUAAGUAUAAGUUUUUAUACAACGAAACUGCGAAUAGCUCAUUAAAACAAUUAUAGUCUAUGUGGACAUAAUUACUACACGGAUACCUGUGGUAAUUCUGGAGCUAAUACGUGACUCAACAUCCGUUUGGAUGUCACUUAUUAGAUAAGAACCAACCUAUGCUUGCAUAGUAGUCUGGUGAUCCAUAAUAAGCUCGUGAAUCGCAUAGCAUCUGCUGGCGAUAUUCCACCUGAGUUUUUGACUUAUCAGCUAGACGGUAGGGUAUUGUCCUAUCGUGGCAUUGACGAGUAACGGGGAAUUAGGGUUUGAUUCCGGAGAGGGAGCCUGAGAAACAGCUACCACUUCCACGGAAGGCAGCAGGCACGCAAAUUGUCCAAUCCCAAUACAUUGGGGAGACAGUGAAAAGAAAUAUCAAUGCAGGGCUUUUCAGCUUUGCAAUUGGAAUGAGUUUAACCCAAAUCCCUUUACAAGUAUCAAUUGGAGGGCAAGUCUGGUAAUCACUAGUGAAUU
This 564-nucleotide ribosomal RNA is filed under the name uncultured eukaryote. Its description in RNAcentral is "bacterial SSU rRNA". It matches the Rfam family "Eukaryotic small subunit ribosomal RNA", at positions 5 to 584 of the family's 1831-position model. The record is from RNAcentral.